Molecule: ribosomal RNA, 274 nt
Filed under: uncultured bacterium
Lineage: Bacteria
Description: partial 16S ribosomal RNA
Rfam family: Bacterial small subunit ribosomal RNA
Source: RNAcentral
AUACGGAGGGGGCUAGCGUUGUUCGGAAUUACUGGGCGUAAAGGGCGCGUAGGCGGAUUGUCAAGUCAGAGGUGAAAGCCCUGGGCUCAACCCGGGAACUGCCUUUGAAACUAACAGUCUUGAGUCCGAGAGAGGAUGGCGGAAUUCCCAGUGUAGAGGUGAAAUUCGUAGAUAUUGGGAAGAACACCGGUGGCGAAGGCGGCUACCUGGACCGGUACUGACGCUAAGGUGCGAAAGCGUGGGGAGCAAACGGGAUUAGAAACCCCAGUAGUCC